Xenia sp. Carnegie-2017 is the source of this 3529-nucleotide RNA transcript. It is a transcript of the gene named VWFA and cache domain-containing protein 1-like, with no coding region annotated. The transcript is spliced from 14 exons. NCBI's taxonomy places the organism in Eukaryota, Metazoa, Cnidaria, Anthozoa, Malacalcyonacea, Xeniidae. The record is from RefSeq and is a predicted model, not a curated record.
GUUAUUAAUGCAAAAGUGAAAACAGCCUUUGCCAAAGUACAUUCAACCUUCACAGCAAUCAGAGACGUGAUCAUUUGAAGUAAACUUUCUUAUUUGUAUUGAAGAAUGAAUAUGUGGAUGUACUUGGGGAUAUUGUGGUACUUUGUAAUGAUGUUAAAGUGUAUUGAUGCAAAUAGACUGAAAACCGCUACAUUAUCAAAUGUUCUUAAAGAAGUAAAAAAUGACGUAUUGGGAGUGACGGAAAUGCAGAGUUUCUUUGAUAAAUCAACCUUUGUUCUGAGUGAUGAGCCUGAUGUGAAUGGGAAAUACCACGCGAAUAGACUUGCAAACAUUUUGAGGCAAAGAUUUCAGGGAAACAUUCAAGCCGUUCAAAAGAUUAAAGAAACUGUUGAAAAAUCCUACGAAGACAACGAUGUCACAUCAUCACCAACAAGACCUGAAUGUUGUAAAGUUGAGGGAACUAAAACAGACCACAGGUUCAAGACAAAGAUAAUUAGUGAUCAGUUUUGCGAAAUCCAUGCAAAAUAUACUUAUAAAGGUGCAAAACAUUUUUCAAAAAGCUUGGAAAAAACGAUGAAAAAUAAUUUGGAAAAUAAUCCUGAUUUACGAUGGCAAUAUUUUGGAUCGCAAGAAGGAAUUUCAUCGAUUUAUCCUUCAAAUAAAUUUUCAUCUUGUGAUAGCUACGACAACCGUCUUCGUCCUUGGUACAUUAAAGGUAUCGCUCCCGAAGCAAAAGAUAUCGUUAUUGUUGUGGAUAAAAGUGAAUCCAUGGCAAUGAUCAGCGGAGGAAAAACAUUGAUAAGUAUUGCUCAGUCUGCUGUGGACACUGUACUAGAUGCAUUAAAUCCUCAAGAUCGAGUCGGUUUAGUAACAUUCAAUAGCGAAGCAGAAACUCCACCGGGCGAAAAAAGCUCUAGUACAUGUUAUAAAAACGAGCUUGCAACUGCUGUUGGAGUUAAUUUGAAAUACCUGAAAAAGUAUAUGAGAAAUAUAAAAACAGAAGGUCGCAGCGUUUAUGGAAAUGCUAUUCGUAAAGCGUUUUCUUUAUUGAAAACAAAUUCCACUGGGAGUGGAAACGAGAACGCAAGAAAGAAAGUGAUUCUAUUUUUAACCGACGGACAACCAACGGAUAUUAAUGAAAAUUUUACGGCCUUACUCACCGAAGAGAAAAAAUCUCUUAAGAUUGUAACCUCAAAGGAUGUUGUCAUCUUUGCUUACGGAAUAGGAUCAGGAGAUUUUAGUCUUUUGAAGAAAAUUGCCGAAGCCACAGAAGCUGAAGGAACAAAGGGAAGAUUUACAGAAAUAACUCAAGAAAAUUUAGAUGAGUUACGAUUGGUCUUUGCAUCUUUUUACAAUUUCUUUGCAAGAACGACAAAAUACUCUUCUCAUUACAUAACAAGCCCUUACUUUGAUGCUUCAGGUUUAGGUGAGAUGGUGACCAUACUCGCCCCAUGUUUUUACCAACAGAGAGUAAUUGGAGUUGUGGGCACAGAUGUCGUGUUUGAAGAUUUAAUUUCUGACGUAGAGUUAUUUUAUAUCGGACAGUAUUCUUAUGCGUUUUUGAUUGAGAGCAGCACUGGAAACACUAUCUACCAUCCAUAUAUGCCCAGAACUACUGCUGUCAAUGACGAUAUAGUUCUGCUUCAUAUUACAGCUUUAGAGCAGGAAGAUGAGUUUAACGAUUUUGUCUUGCCGUCAAUGAUGAGGAGAGAAGAAGGAAGUAGAAACUUUAUCAGUAGAAGAUAUUCAAAGAUUGGAAGUGGAGGUGUAGAAGCGCUUUUGAUAAAUUCAACAUAUCAUUGGCAGGCAAUUCAAGGAACGUCUUUGAGCUUCUGUGUAGUUCUUGCCAACAAUGAAAUACAAAGUAGGCUAGACGCUCUUUCAACUGUUUCCAGUGAAAAUUCCUUUGUCUAUCAUCUUGAAGUCAACUCACCCAAAGGAAGCAAUGACUUUAAAAUAUGUUCUCUAUAUGGUGUUAAGGGCACAACAGAAAGAGGAACUGUGAAGUUUUCUCCAAAAUGCUUUGAAAAGCCCUAUGAUUAUAUAUCUCUUAAAGAAACAGAUAAAACAAUUAAAGCGUUUAAGAAUUACAUAAUAAAUGGUCGAUCUAAUCCUGAACCAAAAUUUGUGAAUGGAGUUCGAAAAAUGGCUCUUGCUGCAUUAGAAACUGAGAGCAUUUGGGACAGGCAUAAAUCAAGAUUCAAACGUUACACAUCGUUUCGAACGUUUGCUUCAACCAAUGGGGUGAUAUAUACUAAACCAGGUGUUGCUAUUAAUAAGCGCUAUAAUCCCACAACACUUUCGUGGUUUCAAAAUGCUCUAAAUAGCAAAGGAAAGCUGACGAUAACCACUCCGUAUCUUGACUCUUUCGGUGCAGGUCUUAUUGUGGGUGUUUCUCAUACUCUUUAUGAAGGGAAGUCUAACCAACAACAUAACGUCAAUGACAACGUAAUCGCUGUGUUAGACGCCAGUUUUGAUAUGUUUAAAUUUUACAGACUUCUUGUAGAAACAUAUCCUGAAUGUGAGAAAAGGUACAGAUGCUUCCUGAUGGAUGAAAGCGGGUUUUUAUUAAUCCACAAUGACUUUAUUAAAUUGGAAUCAGUGUUAGAUUUGAAAAAGCUGGCGCAAAACGUUGGCAGUACUCAUAUCACACAGGCAGAGCAAUCAGUUGCUGCAGACAUGAUUAAGAGAAAACUUAUGUAUCGAAAUAAAUGCAAAAACUUCAAAGACAUAACCAAUAAAAAUUUCUAUGUAGUAAACAUAACCACUGAUGCUUAUGUUGAUACGGAACAAUGUCCAAAAUAUCAAAUCGGUCGGGUCGAUGGUACAGCAGUUUAUCUCGGCAUCAUCUAUAAUUGUCCUCAAACCAGUGGUGCGUGUUAUUGCCCAGAUGGUAUCUACAAAAUAAAAGGGAAUGAAGAAUGUUUAUGUCCAUUCAAAUCAUCCCUACAUUACAAUUAUUGCAAAACUAUUUUCCAAAAGCAGAGAUCCUUUGUGUCCGGUAUCUCCUUCGUUACUUUUCAAUCUUGAGAAUUCUCUUGAUCCUCCUAAAGAUUUGCAGAACUGUUAUAAUGAAAAUUGUGUGGGAAAGGCUGCUGGAGAAUCCUGUUAUGGCUUAAGAUCAUGUACUUGGUGUGUUUAUAAAAAAGAAACGUCGACAUCUUUGAAAACUCCAUAUUGCACAAAUUCUGAGAAAUGUUAUGGUGGCGUCCAAGGAAACAAAAGAUCUAUUCUCUACCCAAGAAAUGAAGGUACGUGUAUCGUAUAAGUUCACUUUUCAAUUACGAUUACAUUUAUUGCAAGUAUAUUGUUAGUAACAUCUAAGAAACACGCGAGAAAGUUUUUGAGAAACGAGAAUUUGCUUUCAAGCACGAGCACAAAGUGCGAAUGUUUCCAAGCGAUUUCGAGUUCUUACCAAACUUUUAGAAGCGCUCAUUUAACUCAAUAGGAACAAGUAAAUACGUUUUCUAUUCCUAUCAUAAAAUAAUCUUUUUAAAACAAAAUUAAAAAUAUAAAUUUCUUAAUUUAA